Small nuclear RNA from Pongo abelii (Sumatran orangutan), 101 nucleotides. The record is from Ensembl. Lineage: Eukaryota; Metazoa; Chordata; Mammalia; Primates; Hominidae.
GUGCACAUUGGCAGCACAUAUACUAAAAUUGGAAUGAUACAGAGAUCAGCAUGACCCUUGUACAAGAAUAACAUGCACAUUUGUGAGCGCUUCAUAUAUUU